GUACUGCUCACGUCAGCAGCACAUAUACGAAAAUAGGACUUAUAUAGAUAAGAUUAGCUGGACCCUGUGCAAGGAUGACACUCAGAAUCAUGAAACAUUCCACACUUCU
Sorex fumeus (smoky shrew) is the source of this 109-nucleotide small nuclear RNA. The record is from RefSeq and is a predicted model, not a curated record. Lineage: Eukaryota; Metazoa; Chordata; Mammalia; Eulipotyphla; Soricidae.